This 253-nucleotide ribosomal RNA is filed under the name uncultured bacterium. RNAcentral's name for it is "partial 16S ribosomal RNA". It matches the Rfam family "Bacterial small subunit ribosomal RNA", at positions 524 to 776 of the family's 1533-position model. The record is from RNAcentral.
UACGAGGGGGGCGAGCGUUGUUCGGAAUUAUUGGGCGUAAAGGGCGCGUAGGCGGUGCGGUAAGUCACCUGUGAAAUCUCUGGGCUUAACUCAGAGCCUGCAGGCGAAACUGCCGUGCUGGAGUGUGGGAGAGGUGCGUGGAAUCCCCGGUGUAGUGGUGAAAUGCGUAGAGAUCGGGGGGAACACCCGUGGCGAAGGCGGCCAGCUGGGCCGACCCUGACACUGAGGCGCGAAGGCGUGGGGAGCGAACGGG